Molecule: unclassified non-coding RNA, 294 nt
Filed under: Hevea brasiliensis (rubber tree)
Lineage: Eukaryota; Viridiplantae; Streptophyta; Magnoliopsida; Malpighiales; Euphorbiaceae
Source: RNAcentral
UGGCAAUGAGAUACAUUCUCAGAAGUAAUUGGAUUCUAAUUGCCUUCUCAUCUACAAGCCUGAAUACAUUUAAGAUGAUGGUCGUCUGUUCAAGAAGGUGUGAUCCUUUCCAUAACGAACCAUUAACAAGACCAUUGAAACUUCAUACAAAAAGAAGGUGGGGCGGGAUGGGUGUGGCUACAUUCAAGUUUAAGAUGGGCAAAGCUGUAGAAGAAAUCCCACUGCUGCUGGGACACAACACAGAAGAUGCUGCAAUGGAUCAUCUUGACCAUGAGGAAAGUCUUACCUGAGGUA